CACUCUCAUCUACAUUUUCUGGGGACUUCUGAAAAAAGAAGAUUUCCUUCUAGUCUGUGAUUCGAACAUUUAAAAAAACGUGUCAUCACAAAUGACAAAUCAUGCAAAAUGGAUGAAACGAAUAUUUUUCUUUGAAUGACUUAAUUAAACUUAAGUUUGUGUUAUUCGUUGUAUUCAAUUGCUCGGUAUGUUAAUUUUACUUACAAAUAAUACAGACGGUGACAGGCUCU
This 230-nucleotide long non-coding RNA is filed under the name Mytilus galloprovincialis (Mediterranean mussel). Lineage: Eukaryota; Metazoa; Mollusca; Bivalvia; Mytilida; Mytilidae. The record is from RNAcentral.